RNAcentral lists this ribosomal RNA (501 nucleotides) under Triticum aestivum (bread wheat). RNAcentral's name for it is "partial small subunit ribosomal RNA". The record is from RNAcentral. Lineage: Eukaryota; Viridiplantae; Streptophyta; Magnoliopsida; Poales; Poaceae.
AUGUUUGAAAAUUUUGGUAAAGUGCUGUAUGAACGUGGGUUGUAUGAUCUAGUAAAAGUCAAGCCGGGUUUGGAGUACAUUGCUAGGCACAUCAAAUUUCAGUCGAGGGAAAAGUGGUGCAAGAAUGAGUUUGUGAUCUCCGUGAGCGAGUCAGCUGAUGAGUUCAAGUGCGAGUGUGGGACAUUCGAGCACUAUGGAAUGGUUUGCAGCCAGGUCAUGAUACACCUGAAAUUGCAUGAGCUCCCUGCGAAGCAUGUGCUCAAGCGAUGGGCUACAGAUGCAAGAGAUAUACUAUCGCCAGAGUAUCUGCGCUACCAAAAGGAUCAUGGACCGCUGAAGUAUUCUUCUAGUCGACGCAACACUUUGUACCUUCUAGUGCUUGAUACCAUUAAGUUAGGCGACAGCAAUGUGGAAGCAUGUGUACUUGUUAUGGAGAAAAUGCGAGAUGUCAAAGUGCUGGUCGAGCCAAUUGCCGCUGAGGGAUGGGCUUGGUUUGUCUGA